UGUUUCCUGCCUGGAUGUUGACUUUUGAAACUCAGAUAUUAGAUCAAGCUUCUCAAUACAAAGCCCAGAUCAAGCUUUUCAACACAAAAAGCCAUCAGCCUCAACAAAAUCCUAGGAAGCAGAAUUCAAGCAGUGAAGGAUAAUGUUUUGUUUAAGUUGUCAGUGUUCACCCUUCAAAAAUGUAAAAUAUAAUUCCAAAUCAAAAUCCAA
Long non-coding RNA from Homo sapiens (human), 210 nucleotides. Ensembl annotates it as long intergenic non-protein coding RNA 363. The record is from Ensembl. Lineage: Eukaryota; Metazoa; Chordata; Mammalia; Primates; Hominidae.